UGGAGCCAAAAUACUUUGUCCAAAAUAUCCUGUCCUGUCCUUGUUGCCGCCAGGUGCUCAGAUAAUGCACUUUUAACAACCUCGUCCUCACUACAAACAUGCCUCUAAAGUCCUUGUUUGUCCUCAUAGUGCCUCGUACACAAACUGCCCCACGC
Molecule: long non-coding RNA, 155 nt
Organism: Thalassophryne amazonica
Lineage: Eukaryota; Metazoa; Chordata; Actinopteri; Batrachoidiformes; Batrachoididae
Exons: 3
Source: RefSeq, a predicted model, not a curated record